Molecule: ribosomal RNA, 343 nt
Filed under: unidentified activated sludge bacterium AI085
Lineage: Bacteria
Description: bacterial SSU rRNA
Rfam family: Bacterial small subunit ribosomal RNA
Source: RNAcentral
AGAACCUUACCAGCUUUUGACAUGUCCGGUUUGAUCGGCAGAGAUGCCUUUCUUCAGUUCGGCUGGCCGGAACACAGGUGCUGCAUGGCUGUCGUCAGCUCGUGUCGUGAGAUGUUGGGUUAAGUCCCGCAACGAGCGCAACCCUCGCCCCUAGUUGCCAUCAUUCAGUUGGGAACUCUAGGGGGACUGCCGGUGAUAAGCCGCGAGGAAGGUGGGGAUGACGUCAAGUCCUCAUGGCCCUUACAGGCUGGGCUACACACGUGCUACAAUGGCGGUGACAAUGGGCAGCGAAGGAGCGAUCCGGUGCUAAUCCCAAAAAGCCGUCUCAGUUCAGAUUGCACUC